AUUGAACGCUGGCGGCAGGCUUAACACAUGCAAGUCGAGCGGAGAUGAGGUGCUUGCACCUUAUCUUAGCGGCGGACGGGUGAGUAAUGCCUAGGAAUCUGCCUGGUAGUGGGGGACAACGUUUCGAAAGGAACGCUAAUACCGCAUACGUCCUACGGGAGAAAGCAGGGGACCUUCGGGCCUUGCGCUAUCAGAUGAGCCUAGGUCGGAUUAGCUAGUUGGUGGGGUAAUGGCUCACCAAGGCGACGAUCCGUAACUGGUCUGAGAGGAUGAUCAGUCACACUGGAACUGAGACACGGGCCGGACUCCUACGGGAGGCAGCAGUGGGGAAUAUUGGACAAUGGGCGAAAGCCUGAUCCAGCCAUGCCGCGUGUGUGAAGAAGGUCUUCGGAUUGUAAAGCACUUUAAGUUGGGAGGAAGGGCAGUAAGUUAAUACCUUGCUGUUUUGACGUUACCGACAGAAUAAGCACCGGCUAACUCUGUGCCAGCCGCCGCCGUAA
Molecule: ribosomal RNA, 500 nt
Filed under: uncultured bacterium
Lineage: Bacteria
Description: partial 16S ribosomal RNA
Rfam family: Bacterial small subunit ribosomal RNA
Source: RNAcentral